Molecule: ribosomal RNA, 465 nt
Filed under: uncultured bacterium
Lineage: Bacteria
Description: partial 16S ribosomal RNA
Rfam family: Bacterial small subunit ribosomal RNA
Source: RNAcentral
CCUACGGGAGGCAGCAGUAGGGAAUCUUCCACAAUGGACGAAAGUCUGAUGGAGCAACGCCGCGUGAGUGAAGAAGGGUUUCGGCUCGUAAAGCUCUGUUGGUAGUGAAGAAAGAUAGAGGUAGUAACUGGCCUUUAUUUUACAGUAAUUAGUUAGAAAGUCACGGCUAACUACGUGCCCGCAGCCACGGUAAUACGUAGGUGGCAAGCGUUGUCCGGAUUUAUUGGGCGUAAAGGGAGUGCAAGCGGUUCGAUAAGUCUGAUGUGAAAGCCUUCGGCUCAACCGGAGAAUUGCAUCAGAAACUGUGGAACUUGAGUGCAGAAGAGGAGAGCGGAACUCGUGGUGUAGCGGUGGAAUGCGUAGAUAUAUGGAAGAACACCAGUGGCGAAGGCGGCUCGCUGGACUGCAACUGACGCUGAGGCUCGAAAGCAUGGGUAGCGAACAGGAUUAGAUACCCCAGUAGUC